Molecule: long non-coding RNA, 1848 nt
Filed under: Sus scrofa (pig)
Lineage: Eukaryota; Metazoa; Chordata; Mammalia; Artiodactyla; Suidae
Description: lncRNA (ENSSSCG00030058565.1)
Source: RNAcentral
AGAGGGAAACAGCAUGGGCAAAGCCUAGUGUUUUGAGUUGAAUUCAUAUGCUAAUGUCCUGACCCCCAGUUCCUCAGGACAUGACCUUAUUUGGAAAUAGGACCGUAGCAGGUGUAAUUAGUUCAGAGGAAGGUGCACUGGAGCAGAGGGGACCCUGAUCCAACAUGACUGAGCACAGGAGUUCUCCAGCUCUAUGGGCUAAGGAUCUGGCAUUGCCUCUGCCCUGAUGGGGUUUGAUUCCUGGCCUGGGAACUUCUGCAUGCUCCAGGCAUAGCCAAGGAAAAAACCAAUAUGAUUGAGCACAGACACACAGAAAAGGCCACAUGAAGAUGAAGGCACAGGAGUUCCCACUGUGGUUCAGUGGGUUAAGGAUUCAGCUUUGCUGCAGCUGUGGCUCGAUUCUAUCCCUGGGAACGUCCAUAUGCUGUGAGUAUGGAAGGCGGGGUGGAAUAAAAGAAUGAAGGCAGAGAUAGUGCGUCCAGAAGCCAAAGAAGGCUAGCAAUGGCCAGCGAACCACGAGAAGCUGGGAAAGGUACAGAACAGGGUCUGCCUCCCAGCCCUCAGCAGGAACCAACCCGGCGACCACCUGGAUCUCACACUUCCAGACUCCGGACUGAGAGACAGAAAAUUGCUGUCGUUUAAGCCACCCAGUCUGUGGUACUUUAUGACAGCAGCCCCAGCAAACGUUUUCCCAGCAUGGAGAACGUGCAACCACAAGUUCGGAGAAGAGCGCAUGAUUCAGCAAGAAACGCUUGCGCUAGACUCCAUCUUGGGUAAAAGAUGCAUGCGCACACACAGGGCAAGGCCCUGAGUCGGGCCAAAUGUGGACUCAAGACCAGACAAAGCAAGAUGAUUGGCCGGAAGAAACGUGGAAGAACUGCCCCCAUGUAAGUGAUUCAAACCACCCCAAAGGGCAUGGCUCUCUCUGUCGCUGCACUCACACCACACGGCAGUUUCUGGGCCAGGGAUCAAAUCUGAGCCGAAGCCUCGACCUAUGUCACAGCUGUGGCAACGCUGAGAACCCCUGAGAUUCCUGAGGCGUCACCCCGCAGCGUCCCAGCACUUUUCUCUGCCGCAUCUCCCUUUCUCCUUCUUCCUGCUCCCUCCCCAACCCCCACCAUUCUUUGCGCAUUCCUGGAAGAUGAGGGAGUCUGAGUAGCAGGGGGGAAAUGUUUACCAGAUGCUGUAACAUUGUAGUUAAAAGUUGAGGCUGUCACGUCCAACAGACAUGGCCUUGAAACCUAGCUCUGCAAGGCGCUAAACUUGUGGUAACCUUGGGCAGGUCCCUUUAGCUCUUUGAGCUCCGGGUUCCUCGUCUGCAGGUUCCUCGUCUGCAGAAUGGGGAUAAUUAAUAGCACCCAACUCAUAAGGUCAGACAACUUAACGGAGAUAAUACAGGUAAAGGGUUUAACAUAAAGAUGCCCCUAAACAUGCCCUGGCACCAUCGCCACUACCAUCACCAUUAACGAGGGGCAAAUGACAGGCAAAUCCUUCUUUUAUCGGACCUACAAUAUAGUUUUCACUCAGUUUGAUAUUUUCACUAUACACUAAAGAAUAAGAUCUUUUUAAAAAUUGAUUUUUAAUUACGUGAGAAAUGCACAAAUACAUACUACUUAAAAGAAAAAAAAAACAACACUACUAUUAUAGGUAAGACUAAAGUCUCAUUGGACUGCCGGUCCCUUGGCUCCUCUAUCUCAGCCCCCCCAACCCAUCUCAUCCUUCCUCGUCAUUCUCCAAAGGUAAUCGCUAAUAUUUUGCUGCCUCUGCCUCAGGCGUUUUUUUCCCUGUGCUCUUGCAAGCACAUGUCCUUGUCCUUUGAAAUAAACGGAGUGGUUUGAGUGUGCCGUA